This 253-nucleotide ribosomal RNA is filed under the name uncultured bacterium. RNAcentral describes it as "partial 16S ribosomal RNA". It matches the Rfam family "Bacterial small subunit ribosomal RNA", at positions 524 to 776 of the family's 1533-position model. The record is from RNAcentral.
UACGGGGGGGGCAAGCGUUGUUCGGAAUUACUGGGCGUAAAGGGCGCGUAGGCGGCCAUCUAAGUCAGACGUGAAAUCCCCCGGCUUAACCUGGGAACUGCGUCUGAUACUGGAAGGCUUGAGUAUGGGAGAGGGAUGUAGAAUUCCAGGUGUAGCGGUGAAAUGCGCAGAUAUCAGGAGGAACACCGGUGGCGAAGGCGGGUCUCUGGGCAACAACUGACGCUGAGGAGCGAAAGCGUGGGGAGCGAACAGG